UGAAGUUCUUCUGGAUUUCAGUUUCUUUUUCUAUAAAUAGAAGGAAUUGGACUAGAUGCCUUCUAAGAUCCCUGUUAGCUCUUGAUCUGGGAUCCCAAGAUCCAAAUAAAUGAGUAAAUAUAUCA
Monodelphis domestica (gray short-tailed opossum) is the source of this 125-nucleotide small nucleolar RNA. The record is from Ensembl. NCBI's taxonomy places the organism in Eukaryota, Metazoa, Chordata, Mammalia, Didelphimorphia, Didelphidae.